UACCAGCACCCCGAGUGGUCGUGACGAUUAUUGGGCCUAAAGCAUCCGUAGCCGGCCUUACAAGUCCCCCGUUAAAUCCAACUGCUUAACAGAUGGGCUGCGGAGGAUACUAUAAGACUAGGAGGCAGGAGAGGCAAGCGGUACUCAGUGGGUAGGGGUAAAAUCCAUUGAUCCAUUGAAGACCACCAGUGGCGAAGGCGGCUUGCCAGAAUGCGCUCGACGGUGAGGGAUGAAAGCUGGGGGAGCAAACCGG
Molecule: ribosomal RNA, 253 nt
Filed under: uncultured bacterium
Lineage: Bacteria
Description: partial 16S ribosomal RNA
Rfam family: Archaeal small subunit ribosomal RNA
Source: RNAcentral